CCUACGGGGGGCAGCAGUGAGGAAUAUUGGUCAAUGGGCGCGAGCCUGAACCAGCCAAGUAGCGUGCAGGAUGACUGCCCUACGGGUUGUAAACUUCUUUUAUAAGAGGGUAAAGUGAGGUACGUGUGCCUGUUUGUAUGUACUUUAUGAAUAAGGAUCGGCUAACUCCGUGCCAGCAGCCGCGGUAAUACGGAGGAUCCGAGCGUUAUCCGGAUUUAUUGGGUUUAAAGGGUGCGUAGACGGUUUGUUAAGUCAGUUGUGAAAGUGUGCGGCUCAACUUCAAAAUUGCAUUUGAUACUGGUAGUCUUGAGUGCAGUUGAGGUAGGCGGAAUUCGUGGUGUAGCGGUGAAAUGCUUAGAUAUCACGAAGAACUCCGAUUGCGAAGGCAGCUUACUAAGCUGCCACUGACAUUGAUGCACGAAAGCGUGGGGAUCAAACAGGAUUAGAUACCCGGGUAGUC
Molecule: ribosomal RNA, 460 nt
Filed under: uncultured bacterium
Lineage: Bacteria
Description: partial 16S ribosomal RNA
Rfam family: Bacterial small subunit ribosomal RNA
Source: RNAcentral